This 484-nucleotide ribosomal RNA is filed under the name uncultured bacterium. RNAcentral's name for it is "partial 16S ribosomal RNA". It matches the Rfam family "Bacterial small subunit ribosomal RNA", at positions 30 to 507 of the family's 1533-position model. The record is from RNAcentral.
AUUGAACGCUGGCGGCAGGCCUAACACAUGCAAGUCGAGCGGAUGAAGGGAGCUUGCUCCUGGAUUCAGCGGCGGACGGGUGAGUAAUGCCUAGGAAUCUGCCUGGUAGUGGGGGAUAACGUCCGGAAACGGGCGCUAAUACCGCAUACGUCCUGAGGGAGAAAGUGGGGGAUCUUCGGACCUCACGCUAUCAGAUGAGCCUAGGUCGGAUUAGCUAGUUGGUAGGGUAAAGGCCUACCAAGGCGACGAUCCGUAACUGGUCUGAGAGGAUGAUCAGUCACACUGGAACUGAGACACGGUCCAGACUCCUACGGGAGGCAGCAGUGGGGAAUAUUGGACAAUGGGCGAAAGCCUGAUCCAGCCAUGCCGCGUGUGUGAAGAAGGUCUUCGGAUUGUAAAGCACUUUAAGUUGGGAGGAAGGGCAGUAAGUUAAUACCUUGCUGUUUUGACGUUACCAACAGAAUAAGCACCGGCUAACUACGUG